CUACGGGAGGCAGCAGUGGGGAAUAUUGCACAAUGGGCGCAAGCCUGAUGCAGCAACGCCGCGUGAGUGAAGAAGGNUUUCGGGUCGUAAAAUCUGUCCUAUGGGAAGAAAAAAAUGACGGUACCAUAGGAGGAAGCCCCGGCUAACUACGUGCCAGCAGCCGCG
Molecule: ribosomal RNA, 165 nt
Filed under: uncultured bacterium
Lineage: Bacteria
Description: partial 16S ribosomal RNA
Rfam family: Bacterial small subunit ribosomal RNA
Source: RNAcentral